UUUUUUAUUUAAAUGCUAUAGUAAAAGAACUUAGUUAAACUUGAAAUCUGGCUCAUAAUUCAAGAACAACAUUGUGGUGUUGCAUAAAAAGUUUUUGAGCCAAAGGAAUUGUUCGGGCAUUUUUAGAAAUUGAAUAAGUCAUUUAAUAUGCUAUUGGACCACUAUAUAAUUUGGUGAGGGCAUUUUUAAUAAUUCAAAUGAGGUUGGUUAACUCAUCACAAUUUAAUACUGAAUAAAUGCGACACCGCGAACAUUUUUUUUUACAGUUUGAAGAAAUAAUAUUUUGACUUGGAAUUUAAAUUUGAAUUCGAACGCUGUUUGAAUUAAUGUGAGUUUAGCAACAGUAAUCGUGGUGAUGUGGCAACAUUAGUGAAAGGGGGAAGGUUUGGUUACUAAUCUAGUGGGUCUUCUCAUCCCGGCUUGCUCUUCUCGAAGAGGUCGGUCCAAUACAUUGAUGCCUUUAUUUCUUCAGAAACUCCAUUGUACUUACGAAAGAAUAAAGGGGGUAGUCCGGGAGAACGGAACUCUGCAAGGUCGACUAUCUGGUCAAUAACAUCGAGGAAGGUGGCGGAACUCUUGAACUGAAACUUAAGAAAAUACCAAGAGCCAAGUAAGAAGGUACAUCAUAGAAGUUUCAAGCACAUAGGCAAUCGUUCGAUGCCUGAUACGAAAUGUGAAAGGGGUUCAGAGCAAUGGGAAUAAGUAUUGCGUCUGAUACCAGAAUAGAUUACUAGGCAGGUGGCCCGUGAUUUACAUACGAAGUCAAGCUCAAGGAAUAUCUUUCACAACAAGGGAUACAGGAGAGUCAGGUUCCGAUCUUGGGACCUUUGGGUUAUGGGCCCACCAUGUGGGUUAAAAGUAGGAAGGGGGAUGACGUCUUGCAUGAUCAUGUAAGCAAGGCAUGUCAGAGGAUAGACUAUCGAUUAUGUCGGCAACAACCAUUGGUACCAAGGGCGAGGGACGAAGAGAACCAUUUUCCUGCUCGUUGAACGAGGCGGGCCAAUAGGCAAGGUUCUCGUCCAUCGGUGGUUACCGGAAUGUCAUCAACAAAAGUAACAGGGUCUUUCUGACAGAAUUGUACAUCGAGAAGUUUACAUAAGCAGGAGAAUAUUACUGCUUAGAUCAUAUAGAACACCAGAAAGGUCAAACAAACCAAUGAAAAGGAAAUUUGAUCAUCAGGUUAAACAGAACAAUGGAAAGGAAAAAUGUGUUUAAACACAUAUUUCAGGGGUAUAUCCUUCCCAAGGACAAGCAGAGCAUGAUAUCCAUGAUAGGAUAUAACGUACAAAACCCUUUAGGAAAGGGGAGAGAAAUAUCAUGACAUUACCCAUACAACGGUGUUUGGGGUAAUUGAGCAAGAAACAUUUAGCAUUGGGCUUCAAGUGUUCUUGUUGAAAAUCGGAGUACCACAGACAUGCUUCGAGAUAGCAUUGACAUGGUCUUCAAACAAAGGUCAGACUUUGGAUACACAAAGGAUCCAUCGGGAUAAACUUAUUAAACAAGGCAUUCAAUUUCCUCAUGGAAAAAUGGUGAACCUUGUUAAAAACAAAACUAUAACACUUGGUCCUCCGGUCAGGUGUGCAUGACAUUGCCUUACCAGGUCAUAUGAGGAUCAAUGUUAUCACUCUUGAAAAUAUGUUCCAACCAUCAUAUCUAACAGAGAUUCAGAUCUGAUUGGUAUCAAAAUAACAUCAGACACGGGAUUCCUAAAAAGAAAAGGUGCAACACAAAUUGACGAGAUGACAUUGUAAGAUUCUCGGGAAAUGGACUAUGGAAGCAAGUUACGAAACAAGAGCCCAUCAUUAAAACCGAGAAGAUGAUGAUGAGGUGGUUCAUGGACUUGGUGACAAUUCAUUAAGAUUUCCAAAAAGAUGGGUGCCCUCAAUUAUGUGAACAAGGAGAUAACAUUUGUCUGAUCAAAUGAUAUAAUGAUGUAUGCUCGAGGAAAACAUACACAAUUUAAACAUUGGUUGAAUGGUGCACCUGAAUUAUGGGCUUAUGUAGAAAGAUCAAUGAUAGAAGGGUGAUUCGAUAUCCAAUACACAAAGAAUGUAUCUAUCAUUCAUUAACUUACAAGCAAUAGGGUUGCUAGAAGUUUGGAAUUUUUCACAUCACAAUCCAUUUGUCGAUAUCCGGUUGGAGCACGGGGGCCAUGAAAACAAUGGUGAUGGUGAGAAGCAUCACUUGCAUCAAUAAUUCAUAAGAGGUGGUGAAAUUCUCACAACAUACUUGACAUAAAAGAUGGUAAUAUUCCAAGGUAAAGAAGAACAAAUGCUAGAUAGCAAGGAACUCAAGGUAUAACACAAAACAUGAUCAUGUUUGUGUUGGAGGUAAGGCAAUAAAGUGGCCGAUGAUAAGACAAAUCAUCGAGGGCAAGGAUGGUAUUUCUCAUCAUGAAUUCGAUUGAUAUCCUGGAAGGAGUCAAGAUAUUGAUAAUGAUGAUGACAAAUUUUGUCGAGAGGCUCCACGAAGAAGCAAUCAAACAACGACUACAUCAAGUAACAUGACUGAUGCAGUGAAAGAUUAUUGGAACCACAUAUACGACACAAACUCAAAAUCAAGAUUGUUGUCCAAGGCGAAAUGAUAUGACGAGGAAAAUCGACGUAAGCUUAGCUCAUCAUCAAAAAUUGUGCUUCGGGAAGAAGGACCAUGUAGCACAGUUAAAAUCGGCACGACAAGGAUAUAGCCAAGCAGGCUAGGAAUGACGUGAUCGAGUUCAAACUCAUAAGUAAUGAAGGUUAUCAAGAGUUGUUUAACUGUGGUGCGGACUUGAGUCAGUUAUCGGUGUCUUUGAGUGUUUAGUAACUCAAAGCCCAUGAAAAAUUGGAAUCAGUGAGAAGGUAGCACCUGAUGAAGAACUCACAAGAGUUAUGCAGUUCCAUGAUAAUCUUGAGAUAUCAUAGUGUAAUACUCGAUGGUAGAUCAAAGUAAAGGUUGGACAGGUGCAAUGAUCUGCAGAAGACAAGUGCUUCAACUUGUCCGAGAAAUUGUAUUAAGGAGAAAAUAUGGUCGAAACCAUGAUUGCAAAGGACGAAACAUAGAUACAUGACGAACUUAUAACAAGGGGAUUAUUAUAAUUUACAUGAAGCUUCGAUGAUAAGUUCCACAUCGGGUCCAUGGGCAUGAACACAAAGGCUCAAGGUCGACUCCCACUUCUUCAAUGCAUAACCUUUCACUUCACUUCUCGCUUUUGAUGAAGCUGUAGUGUAGAAAUUUUAUCUGGCGAAACAACAAUAGAGUAUGACUCGCGAAAACUUUCGGGUUCAUAUGGUUUGCGAAAGGCAUAGGUUCAACCCGUCAGGGUAUCGUGGAAACAUAUACCACAAGCUUCAAUCGUAAAUACCACCAGCUCGGAAACAGAGCAUGGUUGAGAAAAUAGAGGAUAGAAUUUACCAGAAGCAUUAUGUAUCCGAGGAAAGCUGUCAGGACCCCGAUUCCAAGUCACAUCGAUCUAGCCGGUAACACCUCAUAUCACUUUGCGGCAUCACGCACGGUAUUCCCACGGGUGUCGCCUUACCAUGGCUCGGAACCGUUUGCAACUUUUGGAUCACGUAUAUGAUAGUGUCACUAGCAUCCAUAUGACAGAGAACCCGGGCCGACAUGGAUAGUCGUGAACCCAAAGCGGCACCAACCUAUGGGGACAGGCAUACAUGAAUCACAUCGAGCAUGUCAGUCAGCAGCAUGUGAAUCCGGGCUGUAGCACUGGGCUAACAGGACUCCGGAUGUCACCGCGUGACAUUUCCCCGAAGGGACAGACAUAGGAACGAAGUGAAACACAUGCCGGCCAGUCAAGUGUCCUGAGCAGUAGUGCUGGGCUAGCAGGACUCCGGUGAACUGGGCUGUAGCGGACUACUAUGGCUCAUGGAAGCACUAGACUACAUUUCCCCAUAAGAGAGGCUGCCAAGGAUAAACAACUAGAUUGUCGGAUCCCACACAUACCAAGCAUUUCAAUCAUACACACAAUAUGCUCGAUAUGUGUAAAUACAACAUGGCAUCACAACAUAACUCUACGACUCAAAUAUUUAUCAUUAAGCUCCGAGGAGCGAGAUAUUACAAACAUGGGUCUCAUGACCCAACAUUCAGAGCAUACAAGUCAAGGCACAUGCGGAAGCUUAACAUGUCUGGGUACAGACAUCUACAAAUGGAAAAGGCUGAGAAGCCUGACUAUCUACCUGAUCCUGCCGAGGGCACAAGAUCAUAGCUGAGGUAUCAAGCUAAACGUCGAAGUCCACAUGGAACUACUAGCGAGACUGAAGUCUCCCUGCAAAACAUAAAUUAAGCAAAUGUGAGUACAAAUGUACCCAGCAAGACUUACAUCAGAACUAACUACAUAUGCAUCGGUAUCAACAGGGUGGCGGUGGAGUUUAACUGCAGCAAGCCAGCUUUGACUCAGUGGCUAACCUGAACUACGACCACAAGCAACUCUUUUGAGGUGGCGCACAUGAGUCCACAUAUUCACCAUUCAAUACACCACUAUGGAUCCGCUCCCGUCUCCCUACGAGAAGGCCAUCCAUAGCACUCACACUUAUCUUGCGAGUUUUAGAGUAUCCUCUUUCACUUGUCUAUGAACUGUUAUAGGCAACCCAGAAGUCCUUUACCAUGGACACGGUUAUUCGGAUAGAUCAUUUAUAACCCUGCAGGGGUGUAGUUCGUCACACAUGUUUCCACCACUUAGCGUCUGCACACGACAUGUGCUCGGCAGACUUCAAGCGAAAGCCGACGUGGGUGUAGACCACGACCUGAAUAACCACACAAGUCUCUAGUCCAGGUUUAUCGCCUAUUCAGGUUCCAUCCGCAAGGAAAUCCGGCCGGGGUGUCCUCAACGGCCCCAAACGAUGUGUACAUGGUCCCGAGACGCCAAACGGGCGCCCGGCAUACCCGACCAUGGUGUAUCUACCGCAUCAUAGCCCACCCCUAGGGUCAGCGCUACGCACGGCCGCGAACACAUAACAUAUAAACACCAGAAACUAGUUGCAACUCCUGGACAGAGGACGAGAGGGGUCAGUAUGUCGAGCGGGGUCAUAUUUUAGGGCCCAAUGUGUGGUAGUAGCUGUUUCAUGGAUCACAAACACAGAACUCAGUUCCUAAGGACGGCUUCAAUGAAACAACCCACCAUGUACACCUACAUGGCCUCUCAUCGAUACCUUUACCAAAUCAUGUUCACACACUUAGCUCACACACCGUAGGACAUGUUCACACACCUCAGAUUCAUCCCCGAUGAACCAGACCUGACACGACUCUAUGCAAUAGUAGGCAUGACAAACAAGCAUGAAUGAGUAGGCACAUCAGGGCUCAAACAACUCCUACUCAUGCUAGUGGGUUUCAUCUAUUUACUGUGGCAAUGACAGGUCAUGCAGAGGAUAAGGGGUUCAACUACCGCAGCAAGUAACAGAUGAAUCGUUGUUGUCCUAAUGCAGUAAAAGAGAGCAGGAACGAGAGAGUGGGAUUGUAUCGGAAUGAGCAAGGGUGUUUUGCUUGCCUGGCACUUCUGAAGAUAACAUUGAGUCUUCAUUAGUGUCAACGAUCACAACGUCGAAACAACGUCUAUCGAGAGGGGACAAAUACCGGCAACAGAGAAAGAAACACAAUCAAUGCAAUGCACAAUAUGAUGCAUGAUCAUGACAUGUCAAUAUGCUGUGGUUUGAGCUAAUGCAACUAGCAACAUGUUAAAUGGAGUUGGUUUGAACCCUAGGUUCAAAUUCAAACUCCAUAUGUGAGAGUUUAAAUUCCAUUUAUGUGAAUUGGCCUAAACAGCAGCCAUAAGUUGUUCUAACAUGCAUGAAAAUGCCAUAAACAGAUUCCUUGAAUUUUUCUGAUAAUUUUUCAUAUAUAAAUUAUUUAAUUUGGAGUUACGGUUUAAUUUCUAUGAUUUUUUGAAGUUUAAGUCAUUUUCUGGAAUUUCCUGAAUUGUUUUAAAACAGAAAUUAAUUACAGCAUCAGCAUGACAUCGUCAUGACGUCAACAGGUCAACGGGGCACGGUCCAGGUCAAACCUGACCAGUGGGACCCACUGGUCAGUGACCCAGUGACAUUUAGUGUCACAGACAGGUGGGUCCGGUCAACGACCACGUCAGCGAGGUCAACGAUGACGCCUGGGGCCACUGUGUUUAGAUUAAUCUUAAUCUAUUUUUGUUAGCUAGUUAGUUAGGCUGUGGGGCCCGCAUGUCAGCGAGCCAGGGGGGUUAGUUAGUGGUUCAAUUAGCCACUAAUGACGCGUCCACGUCAUCCAAAACGGCGGUUAGCCACCGGCGCUAAACGGAACACGGCGGGGUUGCCCGUCCGGCCGAUUCCGGCGACGAGAGCUCGCGCGGCUGGGUCCUGCGGAUGCAGCGCGACGAGGCGCAUCGAUCAGUGGUGGUGGGUGGUGCUAGGGCGGCCGAGAACGGCAACAGCGGCGAGUGAGGCGGCGGCCGGAGCUCGGGGUUGGUCGGGAUGAGCCUGUGGGGCUCGGUAGGGGCUGCGGGUGGUGGCGUUGGCUUGCUGCGGAGCUGCUGAGCACGUAGCCAUGCUCGGGAACGAGCUUUGCUAGCUCUUGUUACGGCGGCGACAAGAACGGUGGCGGUCGGAGUUCGGGAGCAGAUGGUUUCGGGGCUAGAGAGCGUGGGAGGGGGAGAUACUGGUGGCUACGGGUUCGCGGAGACGCGCUGAGCACACUGGUGUGCUCGGACACGGGCUGCAGUGCCCAUGGCCGCUUCUGCAUCAUCGCCGGCGGCGAGGAGCUGACGGCUUCGGUGGAAGAUGCGGCUAGAGGACGGGAACGAACUCAGGGAGGAGGGGGAAAGACGCAGCAGCUCACGGCAAGUUGAAUGAAGGCCUCGGCGUGCUUGGGGAGGGGUUGGUGAUGACGGGAGGUCGGGGGCGAUCUCUGGUGGCAGAGGAGGAAGAAGACGAUGGCAACGGCGAUGCAGGCCGUCCGGGCUUGGUUCCUUCGUCUUGGAGAAACAGCGCAAGGUUUCAGAGCUCGGGGCACGACCGGAGGGCGAGGGGACGGCUGUGGCUGCGCGUACGCAAGACGGUGGCCGGCGAUUUCUCUCGGAUGGAGCUCGGGGAGGAGCUAGGGGGUGAGGGAGAGAGAAGAGAGUGAGGGAGAGGAGCGAGGGGUCUCCAAGGGGGGUCGUGGCGCUCGGAGCCGUCCCCAGCAACAGCGGCAACCAGGAGCUGGCCGAGCGCGUGCGCGCGAGCCGCGGCCGCACGCCCACCUGCCUACUGGCAGGAGGUUAGGGGUGACUGGUGCGUGGCCUUGGUGGGCUGGCUGUCCACUGGGCCGGCCAGGUAAGUCCAGGUACGCCUUUUUUUUGUUUUUCUAUUUGUUUGCUGCUGUUUUGCCUUUAGUAAAAAUACUAAAGCAUUUUGUAAAAUGCUGGAAUAAUUUGUGGACACUCUCUAGAUUAUUCUAGUGGCCCACAUUUAAUUUUAGCAUUAUCUGAGCAUUUAAAUUAUUUGUAGUAUUUAAAUGCCCAAAGUCAAAUACAAUAUGAAUUAAUUCAAAAAUCCAGGAAUGACCUAGAAAUAUGUUCUUCAUUUUUGGCAGAGGUUUUCACCCUUAUCAGAAAUCAUGAACAUUUCAAAGGGCAUUUUUGGUGUCAUUGAAAAUUACUUUAGUUGAGCCUAUUUGAAAUCCAUGUGGUGCUAGGGUUUGAACAUCCCCAUUUCAAGUUUCUGAGAAUUUAAACAUGAUGCAAGAUGAUGAUGCAAAGACAAGCAAGGCCAAAGCUAGGGCUGUGACAACUCACCCCCACUAAACAAGAAUCUCGUCCCGAGAUUCAAGCGUAGGGUAAGGUGAAGGGGGGGGAACACAAGCUAACAUAAUCUUCACGAUCCAGGUUGCACCUCAUAAGGUUGUUGAUUCGUUGCAUACGUUGAUCUUGACAUCCUCGCUUUUGAGAUCUUCAUCCACGCGAUGACAAUGGAAAGAAACCCUACUAGGAUUGGUCUUCUCGAAGAUUGAGCUAUACAAUAUCACUCGCAGAAUGUGUUGAAACAUCUCAAGUUGAGACACAAAACACAUCGAGAGGGAUGGAAGAACAAAUGACAAGGUUUGAUUUGUGGGCAACAAUUCCACACUUAGAAAGAUGGUGGAUGGUGUCAAGGUGGCGAGGAAAUAAUUGCCAUGAUCCAGUAACGGGGCACCUUGGAAAGAAAGUGACUCAUUGAACUGUUACCUUAGUGGCAAAAAGAAUUACUUUUGAUCCAUAGAUCAUUGAAACUCUCUAUACCAGCCUAAGGCAAUUUGCAAUUGAUCGUUUGAAAUAGUUCGAAGAAAUGGCAUAUUCGGACUAGCAUGAAUGAUGUGGACUACCUUGUUGAAGACAACGCAAUGGAUGAUUUGCUUAUCAUCGGAGACGGAUGGGACACAUGGUAAGUCCACUUUUGAAGAUGAUCCUGGACAACUACUACUGAGGUGCAAGUUGGGAACAAAAUGCAAAUGCUGGGAAUGAUUCUGGUAACUAGGGAAAAACUCAACAAUCGAGAGUGUUUCCAAUGUUUCAAUGGUUAUAGAAUCAUCGAAGAAACUGAGAGCACAAGGAUCCCUAAGGAAGAACUUCUAUAAUAAGUCGCACGAAAUCCUCAUGGAAAGAUGGGCAAAGAUACUAUAAUGACAGAUCUUCCGGCUAGGUGUGUCGGCCAGAACAACAACCUUGUCGGGACCUACAUCAUAGAUCUUGGAGAAGUUCCAACCAUAAUAUCUUCCUGAGAUUCAGAUCUGGUUGGUAAUAGGAUAUUUCAGACAGCAUGUCUGGAAAAGAAAGUUUGCAACACAAACCGACGAGAUGACGUUGCGAGAUUCUCAGAAAAUGAACUACGAUAGUAAGCUCCAAAACAUGAGCCGGUUUUGCUACAAACCUGUGAACACGCUGUCCCGGACAAGCAUGACCACAUAGUAGUCUUAUAAUAAAACACUACUGAGUCCAGAUGGGGAACCAUCAUCAAGGAUAUCGAAGUCCUUGGGUAAGUCUAGCUCUUAAGAAGAAACUUCUUCUCCUUGAACAAAUCAAUCAGUGGCUUGGUGUGCUAGGGAUUCAUAUAGAAUGAAGGUUGCAAGUCUCCAGACCACAGAAUACUUCGCACGUAUGCAUGACUGACUUGGGAUGAUUCCAGAGAAAGCGAGACAAACUUUCCCAAAUUCAUGGCGGCAACUUUCUUCAAAUGCACGUGAACUAGAGGAAGUCACUUCUUAUACCAAAAAUAUGCUUCAUGAGUUAGCAUGAAGAAAUGCUUUCAAAGUUUCCAACACUAGCUUAAUGUUCAACAUGAAUCAUGGAUAAGAUGAAAAUAUUGUCGAUGGGCUCGACAACAGGUCAUCCAGAUUUCCGUGAAGAUGGAAUUCCAUAAUUAUGUGAACAAGGUGAUAGCAUUGGUUAGACCCGAAAGAUAUAACGGUGUAUGCUCGAGGAAACAACCACGAGUAAGACAAGAUUAUGAACAUUAUUGGUUCUCAUUUGACUUGACGAUAGCCCACACUCAAAUCAAGGUUUGGACAAGACGAUAGAUUCAACAAUCGAUCCCAAGGAACAAUCGAUGAAAAUAUCAUCUUUCUUCAACACACACACACACACACACAAGGAUAUCCCUUUGGAAUGAACUGAGCCGGACAAGCUUUCAUUUUCCAACUCUCCAAGUUGUUGUUCAGCUUAACCAACUAGCUCGGGGUAUCCAACACAGAUUCUUGGAGAAGGGGUGGUUUACAAGAAACCAACUUGAUCACGAGCUCAACAUAACAGUCAGGGGGCAACCUGGUGAUACUUCCGAGGAAAUAUCCAGAAAAUCACGAACCAUCGAUAUGUUUCUAAGCUCGGGAACAAUCUUGCUUUUCAGAGCAAGACGAUAUGAUCAAGAGAGCGAGGGACUGACACAAUUCUAACUCAUUGAUCAAAGAGUGCACCAGGAAAAAUGGACUAGGUAGCACGGUCAAUCUUAGGAUGAUGAUUCAAUAACCAACACGAUAAGAAAGAAAUUAUUAUCCAUUAGCUACCUAGCAACUAGUUGCUAGGAGUAUUGAUUUCACACAUCAUGGUUUACUUGCCGGCAUUCCGGUUGCGACAACACGGGACCGAGGAAUGAAAAAUGAUGGUAAGAAGUAUCACUGCGUCAAGAAUUCAUGAGAGAGGGUGCAAUUCUCAUGACAAUCCUGACAUAAAGGGGGUAAUACUCCAGGGUAGAACAGAGCAAAAGCUUGAUUGGCAUUUGAUCUGCAGAACACAACUACUUUGACCCAAUCCUGGAUAUGGAUGAGGUACUGGAGUUUGUUUCUCCUAAUCAUUGUGAAAUAGAAUGGCUUAACGGACCACGAGAAUAAUAAACAUCGAUAACACAUAUGCACAAUUACUCCUGACUAUCAAUUGAUAGACGAUGGUCGGAAUAUAAAUGAAGAGGGACAACUCAAGAGGACAUAUAUCUUUCGAAGUUGUGGAUGCAUAGAUUAAUAUGUCGAACCAAGUUCAACAGGUUUCUUCCAGAUAACCCAUGCAGAAAGGUAGAACUGGCAGAGUCACAAUUAUGAAUGGGGAACUCCUCAAGAGUACUCUGAUUGUGAUAUUUUGGUUCAAAGAACUUCUGCCUUAAUGGUUCAUGGUAUUUGGAAGAAGGAAAUACCACGGACCUCGAGGACUGCCGCAAGGUUACUAAUAUCCUAAAGGAACGAGCAAACACUAUCAACAGGAGGUGACUAGAGUGAAUCUCGGGUUCAAACCCAGGAAUAGAAUACCUACUAACUAAAUGGCAUCACAGAAUGCUUUCGAGAAUGAUGGCCAGAAUCAUCACACUGGGAACACAAGACAUGGCUAGAUUUACUAGGUGAUCCUCUAAGACACCUAGGGUCAUAAUACUAGCUCCGACAUAUAUGUCGAGGCAAUAGAGUACCUCAACUCACAGAUUAGUGUGGUUGAACUGGCCCAAAGGGACAUCGGGAACAGGAAGAAGGAAUUUGCAAAUGCAUCAGACUAUUUAGAGACCUGGGAUGACUCGGACAGCAUAAUGGUUGUAAAUGCUCAAAAUUAUUUGAGACAUCUUGCAAAAAUGGUGGCAUAACCACUCAACAACACAAUAUCAAGGUUCUGAGAUCAACUGUCAACAUACGGAAGUAGUAGGAAGGGAACUGAGGCUUGAAACUAUCAAUUCUAUAAGUCUAUGGAUUAGAAGCACGUCAUCCAGAUAGAUAGAUAGAUGAGAAGGCCUAAUUCAUAAUCCCCGUAGAAAAGAAGAGGUUGACUCAGAUCGGAAGGGCAUAGGGUUAAGGAGUAAAAAGAGCCUUAUGUUCCCUUCCACAAUCAAUUCCCUUACAUAACUAAAGCAUUUCUAGACUCGACUUCGACCAGUUUGGCUUGGUAAUCCUACAAGCAGUCAGGCUCUGAUACCAAAGCUGUCAGGACCCUGAUUCCAAGUCACAUCGAUCUAGCCGGUAACACCUCAUAUCACCUUGCGGCCUCACGCACGGUAUUCCCACGGGUGUCGCCUUACCAUGGCCCGGAACCGUUUGCGCCUUUUGCCUCACGUAUAUGAUAGUGUUGCUAGCAUCCAUAUGACAGAGAACCCGGGCAGACAUGGCUAGUCGUGAACCCAAAGCGGCACCAACCUAUGGGGACAGGCAUACAUGAAUCACAUCGCGCAUGUCGGUCAGCAGCGUGUGAAUCCGGGCUGUAGCACUGGGCUAACAGGACUCCGGAUGUCACCGCAUGACAUUUCCCCGAAGGGACAGACAUAGGAACGAAGUGAAACACAUGCCGGCCAGUCAGGUGUCCUGAGCAGUAGUGCUGGGCUAGAAGGACUCCGGUGAACCGGGCUGUAGCGGACUACUAUGGCUCAUGGAAGCACUAGACUACAUUUCCCCAUAAGAGAGGCUGCCAAGGAUAAACAACUAGAUUGUCGGAUCCCACACAUACCAAGCAUUUCAAUCAUACACACAAUAUGCUCGAUGUGUGUAAAUACAACAUGGCAUCACAACAUAACUCUAUGACUCAAAUAUUUAUCAUUAAGCUCCGAGGAGCGAGAUAUUACAAACAUGGGUCUCAUGACCCAACAUUCAGAGCAUACAAGUCAGGGCACAUGCGGAAGCUUAACAUGUCUGGGUACAGACAUCUACAAAUGGAAAAGGCUGAGAAGCCUGACUAUCUACCUAAUCCUGCCGAGGGAACAAGAUCGUAGCUGAGGUAUCAAGCUAAACGUCGAAGUCCACAUGGAACUACUAGCGAGACUGAAGUCUCUCUGCAAAACAUAAAUUAAGAAAACGUGAGUACAAUUGUACCCAGCAAGACUUACAUCAGAACUAACUACAUAUGCAUCAGUAUCAACAGGGGGUGGUGGAGUUUAACUACAGCAAGCCAGCUUUGACUCAGUGGCUAACCUGAACUACGACCACAAGCAACUCUUUUGAGGUGGCGCACAUGAGUCCACAUAUUCACCAUUCAAUACACCACUAUGGAUCCGCUCCCGUCUCCCUACGAGAAGGCCAUCCAUAGCACUCACACUUAUCUUGCGAGUUUUAGAGUAUCCUCUUUCACUUGUCUAUGAACUGUUAUAGGCAACCCAGAAGUCCUUUACCACGGACACGGUUAUUCGGAUAGAUCAUUUAUAACCCUGCAGGGGUGUAGUUCGUCACACAUGUUUCCACCACUUAGCGUCUACACAUGACAUGUGCUCGGCAGACUUCAAGCGAAAGCCGACGUGGGUGUAGACCACGACCUGAAUAACCACACACGUCUCUAGUCCAGGUUUAUCGCCUAUUCAGGUUCCAUCCGCAAGGAAAUCCGGCCGGGGUGUCCUCAACAGCCCCAAACGAUGUGUACAUGGUCCCGAGACGCCAAACGGGCGCCCGGCAUACCCGACCACGGUGUAUCUACCGCAUCAUAGCCCACCCUAGGGUCAGCGCUACGCACGGCCGCGAACACAUAACAUAUAAACACCAGAAACUAGUUGCAACUCCUGGACGGAGGACGAGAGGGGUCAGUAUGUCGAGCGGGGUCAUAUUUUAGGGCCCAAUGUGUGGUAGUAGCUGUUUCAUGGAUCACAAACACAGAACUCAGUUCCUAAGGACGGCUUCAAUGAAACAACCCACCAUGUACACCUACAUGGCCUCUCAUCGAUACCUUUACCAAAUCAUGUUCACACACUUAGCUCACACACCGUAGGACAUGUUCACACACCUCAGAUUCAUCCCCGAUGAACCAGACCUGACACAACUCUAUGCAAUAGUAGGCAUGACAAACAAGCAUGAAUGAGUAGGCACAUCAGGGCUCAAACAACUCCUACUCAUGCUAGUGGGUUUCAUCUAUUUACUGUGGCAAUGACAGGUCAUGCAGAGGAUAAGGGGUUCAACUACCGCAGCAAGUAACAGAUGAAUCGUUGUUGUCCUAAUGCAGUAAAAGAGAGCAGGAACGAGAGAGUGGGAUUGUAUCGGAAUGAGCAAGGGGGUUUUGCUUGCCUGGCACUUCUGAAGAUAACAUUGAGUCUUCAUUAGUGUCAACGAUCACAACGUCGAAACAACGUCUAUCGAGAGGGGACAAAUACCGGCAACAGAGAAAGAAACACAAUCAAUGCAAUGCACAAUAUGAUGCAUGAUCAUGACAUGUCAAUAUGCUGUGGUUUGAGCUAAUGCAACUAGCAACAUGUUAAAUGGAGUUGGUUUGAACCCUAGGUUCAAAUUCAAACUCCAUAUGUGAGAGUUUAAAUUCCAUUUAUGUGAAUUGGCCUAAACAGCAGCCAUAAGUUGUUCUAACAUGCAUGAAAAUACCAUAAACAGAUUCCUUGAAUUUUUCUGAUAAUUUUUCAUAUAUAAAUUAUUUCAUUUGGAGUUACGGUUUAAUUUCUAUGAUUUUUUGAAGUUUAAGUCAUUUUCUGGAAUUUCCUGAAUUGUUUUAAAACAGAAAUUAAUUACUGCGUCAGCAUGACAUCAUCAUGACGUCAGCAGGUCAACGGGGCACGGUCCAGGUCAAACCUGACCAGUGGGACCAACUGGUCAGUGACCCAGUGACAUUUAGUGUCACAGACAAGUGGGUCCGGUCAACGACCAUGUCAGCGAGGUCAAUAGUGACACGUGGGGCCACUGUGUUUAGAUUAAUCUUAAUCUAUUUUUGUUAGCUGGUUAGUUAGGCAGCGGGGCUCGCAUGCCAGCGAUCCAGGGGGGUUAGUUAGUGGUUCAAUUAGCCGCUAAUGACGCGUCCACGUCAUCCAAAACGGCGGUUAGCCGCCGGCACUAAACGGAACACGGCGGGGUUGCCCGUCCGGCCGAUUCCGGCGAUGAGAGCUCGUGCGGCUGGGUCCUGCGGACGCAGCGCGACGAGGCGCGUCAAUCGGUGGUGGUGGGUGGUGCUAGGGCGGCCGGGAACGGCAACGGCGGCGAGUGAGGCGGCGGCCGGAGCUUGGGGUUGGUCGGGACAAGGGUAUAGGGCUCGGUAGGGGGUGCGGGUGGUGGCGUUGGCUUGCUGCAGAGCUGCUGAGCACGUAGCCAUGCUCGGGAACGAGCUUUGCUAGCUCUUGUUAUGACGAUGACAAGAACGACGGCGGUUGGAGUUCGGGAGCAGAUGGGUUCGGGGCUAGAGAGCGUGGGAGGGGGAGAUACUGAUGGCUAUGGGUUCGCGGAGACGCGCUAAGCACACUGGUGUGCUCGGACAUGGGCUGCAGUGCCCAUGGCCGCGUCUCAUCAUCGCCGGCGGCGAGGAGCUGACGGCUUCGGUGGAAGAUGCGGCUAGAGGACGGGAACGAGCUCAGGAAGGAGGGGGAAAGACGCAGCAGCUCACAGCGAGUUGAACGAAGGCCUCGGCGUGCUAGGGGAGGGGUUGGUGACGAUGGGAGGUCGGUGGCAAUCUCCGGCGGCAGAGGAAGAAGAUGAUGGCAACGGCGAUGCAGGCCAUCCGGGCUUGGUUCCUUCAUCUUGCAGAAACGACGCGAGGAUUCAGUGCUCGGGGGCACGACCGGAGGGCGAGGGGACGACUGUGGCUGCGUGUACGCGAGACGGUGGCCGGCGGUUGCUCUCGGAUGGAGCUCAGGGAGGAUCUAGGGGGUGAGGGAGAGAGCAGAGAGUGAGGGAGAGGAGCAAGGGGUCUCCAGGGGGUGUCGUGGCGCUCGGAGCCGUCCCCACCAACAGCGGCAACCAGGAGCUGGCCGAGCGAGUGCGCGCGCGUCGCGGCCACACGCCCUCCUGCCUAGUGGCAGGAGGUUAGGGGUGACUGGCGCGUGGGCCUCAUGGGCUGGCUGUCCACUGGGCCGGCCAGGUAAGUCCAGGUAGGCCUUUGUUUUUGUUUUUCUAUUUGUUUGCUGCUGUUUUGGCUUUAGUCAAAAUACUAAAGCAUUUUGUAAAAUGCUGGAAUAAUUUGUGGACACUCUCUAGAUUAUUCUAGUGGCCCACAUUUAAUUUCAGCAUUAUCUGAGCAUUUAAAUUAUUUAUAUUAUUUAAAUGCCCAAAGUCAAAUACAAUAUGAAUUAAUUCAAAAAUCCAGGAAUGACCUAGAAAUAUGUUCAUCAUUUUUGGCAGAGGAUUUCACCCUUAUCAGAAAUCAUGAACAUUUCAAAGGGCAUUUUUGGGGUCAUUGAAAAUGACUUUAGUUGAGCCUAUUUGAAAUCCAUGUGGUGCUAGGGUUUGAACAUCCCCAUUUCAAGUUUCUGAGAAUUUAAACAUGAUGCAAGAUGAUGAUGCAAAGACAAGCAAGGCCAAAGCUAGGGCUGUGACAAAAGGCUCACAAGGUUAUUGAAUAAUGAGGACACUAUCAAAUAAUAAUCCAAUGAAGGAUCUGACGGUCCAUAACGGAGCUGAUGUGAGCAUCGGCACACAACCAGUUGAAGAAAGGAUGCAAGGGCAUCAGAUUAUAGAACAUCUGAAUGAUUCGAUGCUUAGAUAUCAAAGGAAUUAUGAUUUCCAAAAAGAAUGAUCAGAAGCAGACGCUCUGAUCAAGGGUGGAUAAGUUCAAUAGACCUAAGGGUACAAUUGACGGCAAACAGAUUGGUCGAGAACAAGCUCAUGUUCACACAUGACUUCUGAGCCAGAAAGAUAAUUGAAAAGGAUCACUGAUGAUUGCAUGCAUUCGCACUCAUGUUGAAUCAAUAGGAUCAAAAUGACGGUGUCUAAGGAUACUAACGAAUAUUGCCAGACAUAUGGAAAGCAUUCAUAAUGCAAGCAGACAAGUAUUGCUGAGCAAUAAGCUACCGAGGAAUUUUGGAGGAUCAAAUAGUAUUUCGAAGACCAUUGUGAAACACAUGAACAACUGGGGAUGAGUGGAUACUCGAUAAGGGCGAGAAAUUAUCCGUAGGGGUAUUUAGGUGGAAAGGAACUGUAAGGCAGUAGGCACAAAGUAUUGUCGGAUCAAUAGAGAGAAUUUCAGGAUAUCUUGUAGUGACAAGAUCAACUGGGAACAACAGUAAGAACGACAUAUGUAUGUAUUUAUCCAUAGGGAUAUUUCGGUGGUAGGGAAUUGAAAAAGCAACGGACACCAAGUCUCGAGUGAACAUCGAAGAGUAUCUUCGGAAUCCUUCGGUGCAGCACGCGAUCAUCUAUGCUAAGGGCUCUCCGGGACGAAGUGGUUACGAGAACCUAGAGUUAGAGUUAGUAAAUUCAUUUUAAUCCGAAUAGAAGAGAGGGCAGAGUCCCAGAGUAUAGGUCGAGGAAUAAAAGAUCCUAAUACCACCCAAUGGCGACGUGAGCCCGUAAGGCGCACAGCCAUGUUAGUAAAAGUUUUGUAAUGUCUAGACUCGACUUCGUCCAAGGAGUGUGGAAGGGGGAUUCCUACAGGCAGUCGGCUCUGAUACCAACUUGUGACGCCCCCGAUUUGACCGUACACUAAGCAUGCACGCAAAUGUGUACGAUCAAGAUCAGGGACUCACUGGAAGAUAUCACAACACAACUCUAAAACAUAAAUAAGUCAUACGAGAAUCAUAUUACAAGCCAGGGGCCUCGAGGGCUCGAAUACAAGAGCUCGAUCAUAGAUGACUCAGCAGAAGCAAUAAUAUCUGAGUACAGACAUAAGUUAAACAAGUUUGCUUUAAGAAGGCUAGCACAAACUGGGAUACAGAUCAAAAGAGGCGCAAGCCUCCUGCCUGGGAUCCUCCUAACUACUGCUGGUCGUCGCCAGCGGGCUGCACGUAGUAGUAGGCACCUCCCGAGUAGUAGUAGUCGUCAUCAACAGUGGCGUCUGGUUCCUGGACUCCAUCGUCUGGUCGCAGCAUUCGGGUAUAGAAAGGGGGAAAAGAGGGAGCAAAGCAACCGUGAGUACUCAUCCAAAGUACUCGCAAGCAAGGAGCUACACUACAUAUGUAUGCAUUGGUAUCAAAUGGAAUAAGGGUAUCAUAUGUGGACUGAACUGCAAAAUGCCAGAAUAAGAGGGGGAUAGCUAGUCCUAUCGAAGACUAUGCUUCGGGCCACCUCCAUCUUGCAGCAUGUAGAAGAGAGCAGAAGGUAAGUUCACCAAGUAUCAUCGCAUAGCAUAAUCCUAACUGAUGAUCCUCCCCUCGUCGCCCUAUGAGAGAGCGAUCACCGGUUGUAUCUGGCACAUGGAAGGGUGUGUUUUAUUAAGUAUCCGAUUCUAGUUGUCAUAAGGUCAAGGUACAACUCCGGGUCGUCCUUUUAUCGAGGGACACAGCUGUUCGAAUAGAUCAACUUCCCUACAGGGGUGCACCACAUUUCCCAACACGCUCGAUCCUCUUUGUCCGGACACACUUUUUUGGGUCAUGCCCGGCCUCGGAAGAUCAACACGUCGCAACCCUACCUAGGCACAACAGAGAGGUGAGCACGCCGGUCUAAAUCAUAUGGCGCAGGGGUCUGGGCCCAUCGCCCUUUGCACACCUGCAUGUUGCGAACGCGGCCGGAAGCAGACCUAGCCUAGCAGGCGUUCCAGUCUAAUCCGGCGCGCGCCGCUCAGUCGCUGACAUCACGAAGGAUUCGGCUGAUACCACGACGUCGAGUGCCCAUAACUUUCCCCGCGUAGAUGGUUAGUGCGUAUAAGCUAGUGGCCAGACUCAAAUCAAAUACCAAGAUCUCGUUAAACGUGUUAAGUAUCCGAAAACGCUGACCAGGGCCAGGCCCACCUCUCUCCUAGGUGGUCUCAACCUGCCCUGUCGCUCCGCCACAAAGUAACAGUCGGGGGCCGUCGGGAACCCAGGCCCACCACUACCUGGGUGGAACCACCGGCCCCGUCAGCCCCCAUCUCCGAACAUUAUCAUAGGUAAUGUAACAGUGUAAAGUAUAUAGUAUAUGCCCGUGAUCACCUCCCGAAGUGAUCACGGCCCAGUAGUAUAGCAUGGUAGACAGACAAGAGUGUAGGGCCACUGAUGGAACACUAGCAUCCUAUACUAAGCAGUAGGAUAGCAGGUAAGGGUAACAACUGUAGCAACAAUGACAGGCUAUGUAGUAGAAUAGGAUUAACCGAAAGCAAUAACAUGCUACACUACUCUAAUGCAAGCAGUAGAGAAGAAUAGGCGAUAUCUGGUGAUCAAAGGGGAGUGCGCUUGCCUGAUUGCUCUAGCAAGAUAGAGCGGUCGUCAACUCCGUAGUCAUACUGGGUAGCAGCAGCGUCAGUCUCGGUGUCUAGCGAGAGAGGAGGGGGGAAUAAACAAUAAAUAUUAAGCAAACAGAUGCAUGACGAUGCAUGACAAGACAAAGCGUGAUGCUAGGCGUGCCCUAACAUGGUACGAGGUGGUACCGGUGAAAGGGGAAAACAUCCGGGAAAGUAUUCCCGGUGUUUCGCGUUUUCGGACAGAUGAACCGGAGGGGGAAAGUUGCAUGUUCGCUAUGCUAGGGAUGCGUGGCGGACGAACGGGCUGCUUAUUCGAGUUCGUCUCGUUGUUCUGAGCAACUUUCAUGUACAAAGUUUUUCCAUCGGAGUUACGGAUUAUUUUCUAUGAUUUUUCAAAGUUUUAACUAUAUUCCAAAAUUAUUAUUAAUUUGAAAUAAAAGGGGAAACUUCUAUGUGCACCCAGCAGAGUGCAGUCACCGGAGGCUGACAGUGGGGUCAACAGUGCAGUCAGCAAUCAACUAUUAACUGUUGACUGGUCAAAACUGUAGAUGGGGCCCGGGUGUCAUUCACACAUAUCUUGCAUUUUCUUUUUAAGUGGAUAUUUAGAGGGGGGGUCCACCUAUCAUUUGCACUAUACCUAACCACUGAUUAGACUAACUAGUAGGAGUACUAGUUAGCUAACGGAGAGCCGGCCGGCCACCACACACAGAACACACACGCACAAACAAUGCCAGGGUUAAGAAAAGAUAGCAUUUUGUGAUUUUUGUAGGAUUUAAACCAUGCAUCAAAUGAAUUUGGUCCAGUGGAGUAUUUUGAAGUUUGUCAAGUGUACAUUCUACUUAUAUUUGUUUUUGGCCUCUUAGUAGUUGUUUAACCGGAGUUUAGGGGCUGCGAGGGGGUUACUCGAUGUAAUAUUUGUAAAGCUAACCAUAGUAGCAGCUACAGUAGUUAGUAGUAAUAGUAGGUUCAGUAGAGCAGCAAACGACCGCAGUAGCAAGUAGCAGAGGCAAGGGCAGCAGCUAGCAGCAUCAACAGCAGUCAGCGAGCAGUGGCAGCGAGCGGCGCGAAGCCAGGGCGCGCGGGCGCAGACGCGGAGACGCACGCAGCGCACGCAGGGAGGGCGAGUAGGGUGUGUCCCCGAUGCAGGCAGCGCGCGGCAAGGGACAUGGGAGUUGUCACAUCCCUAGCUUUACCUUGGCCUUGGACUAGCUUGGUUGUUGGAUCAUGUUUAAAUUCAAAUGAAAUUUGAAUUGGGGAAUUUUCAAAGCCUUAGAAUCCUUUUAAAAAUGAUCAAGAUAAAAUUGCUUCAAAUAAGUCUAAGAAAAUGUUCUUGUUAUCCUCUGGAAAUAUUGGCAAGAGGUAAAAUCCAAACCAAUAUUUUUGGUGUCUCAGAAACAUUUAUUUUGGGCAUUUGAAUUAAAUCAAUAACUAUUUGAAUUGGAUUUAUAUCUACUAUUAAAUAAAUAUAGGUCCAAUAAUUCUGAAAUAUUUUAUGGAGCUUUGGUUUAAUUUUUUUGCUUCUAAAAAUAUUUCCAGAAGCAACAAAAUUGAAUUGGUUUCAAAACCAAAUUCAAAACAAACCUGCAAAACAGAAAACAGAACAGAAUUAGAAAAACACAGAGAGAGGAAAAACCCACCUGGCUUACCUGCAGCCCACCUGGCCUGACACUGGUGGCCCAGCCCACCAGGCCCUCCACCGUCUUCAACCUCCUACCAGUGGGCAGGAGGGCGUGUGGCCGCCGUGCGCGCCCACGCGCUCCGCGCCACCUCCUGCUUGCCGACGAGCCCCUGGACACGUCGACGAUUCUCCCCGUGUCUUCACGAUCCCGCUGACCCCCUCUCACUCUCUCUCGAGCUCACCCCCCUCCUCUGCUCUUUCUCCCUCUCACCACCAUUGCCGCCGUUCGCCGUACCCAAGGCCACCGACCACCCCUCGCCCUGCCGCUGAGCCUAGAAGCUCCGUCGCGUCGUCCUCGACCUCCUCGCUGAGCUACGCAACACCAAACGCUCCGGAGCCUCGCCAACGCCACCGUCUUCGUCCUCGGGUGCCGGAGAUCCCCGCCGACGUUUCGACGGACCCCGUGUCUCCCUUGCCUCUCCAGCGGCACCAGAAGAACCGCGGUGAGCCUCUGCACCAUUUUCCCCAUACCCCGUCGCCUAAUUCACCCUCCAGCCACCGUUCCCACCGAAGCCAUGAGCUCUUCGCCACCGGCGAUGGUGCAGACGAGGCCAUGCGCACUGCAGCCCAUGUCCGAGCACUCCAUCGUGCUCAGCACGCUCCCCGUAGCACAUAUCACCCCACCAUCGUCCUCCCCGUGCACCACAAUGCGAUCCCACACGCAACCGAACUCUGACCGCCGCCGCGAGGUUUUUUCUGGCGAGCUCCGGUCACCCCACGACCUCCCACGUGCUCCCUUGGCUGCGGGCGAGCAAGGGCUACGCCCUAGUGCCCUCGGCACGUGCAGCCGACGCCCGUAGCGCGUUUCCGGCAUGCCUCCGUCACGCUGGAUGGUCGCCGGUGGACUAACCCCGGCCGUGCUGACGUGGCCAGGUUAAUUAGGCGUUAACCACCUCUUAAUCAAACCCAAGAGUCACAGACAGCCGGGCCCCACCUCAUAAUUAACCACAGGGUUAUUCCCUGCUUUAAUUAAGCUAAUGCUUUGACCCGCCACCUCAGCGUUGACCUGGCCCCACUAGUCAGCCUCUGUUCUUGCCCUGUUACACUAACGUGUGGACCCCACACGUCAGGAAUGACCUGGAUCGUGCCGUGUUGACCUGCUGACGUCAUGAUGAUGUAGUGAUGAUGUAGUAAAGUUUUCUGGAAUUAAAAUAAAUCAGAAAUGAUUUAUAAAUUUCAGAAAAUACCCCAAACUUCUAAAAAUGAUAGAAAAUCAACCAUAGCUCAGAAUUAGAUAAAUUAUAUAUGGAAAAUUAUCAGAAAAAUUCAAGGAAUCCAUCUGUACCAUUUUCAUGCAUGUUUGAACAAUGUUUGUCCUCUGUUUUGGACAAAACAAAUAAAGGCAUUUAAAUAAUCAUAUAUGGAGUUGGAAUUUGAAUCACGUAUUCAAACCAACUUCAUUUAAAUCAUAGCUAGAUGCAUUAGCUCAAAUCAUGCAUCAUAUUGUGGCAUUGCAUUGAUUGUGUUCUUUCUCAGUUGCCGGUGUUUGUCCCCUCUCGAUAAACGUGGUUCCGACAAUGUGAUCAAUGACACCGCUGAAGAACUAUACUAUCUUCAGAAGUGCCAGGCAAGCAAAAACCCCUUGUUCAUUCUGAUAUAAUCCCACUCUCUCGCUCCUGCUCUCUUUUACUACAUUAGGACAAUAGCGAUUCAACGGUUACAUGUUGCGGUAGUUGAACCCCAUUCCUCUGCAUGUCCUGUCAUUGCCACAGUAAAUAGAUGAAGCCCACUAGCAUGAGUAGGAGUUGUUUGAGCCCUCAUGUGCCUACUCAUUCAUGCUUGUUUGUCAUGCCUACUACUGCUUAGAGUUGAGUCAGGUCUGAUUCAUCGGGGAUGAAUUGGAAUGGUGUUGAACAUGUCCUACUGUGUGUGAGCUAAGUGUGUGAACACGAUUUGGUAAAGGUAGCGGUGAGAGGCCAUGUAGGAGUACAUGGUGGGUUGUUUCAUUGCAGCCGUCCUCAGGAACUGAGUUCUGUGUUUGUGAUCCAUGAACAGUUACUGUCACACAUUGGGUUUCGGUAACUCGGCCCCUCUCGGCUUAUUAAUCAACUCGAUCUCUGUCCAGGAGUUGCAACUAGUUUCUAGUGUUUGUAGGUAGUGUUAGUAGUCUACCAAGUGGCACCCGGUACAGGUGGGCUUGGGACAGACUAGGCACAGUGGCACGGUGUACCAAGUGGCACCCGGAUGGUGGGCUUGGGAACCCUGCUCACGUCGUUUGGGGCCGUGAGCGACACCCCGGCUGGAUCUCCUUGCGGAUGGAACCCGAAUAGGCGAUAAACCUGGACUAGAGACUUGUUGGUUAGUCAGGUCGUGGCCGACUCCCUCGCCCGGCUUUCGCUUGAAGGUUGCCGAGGUACAUGACGUGUACAGGGCGAUAAGUGGCGAGAGCGUGUGUGAAGAAGUACACCCCUGCAGGGUUAUCAUUAUCUAUUCGAAUAGCCGGAUUCCUCGGAUAUGGAAACUUGGACCCCUUGCAUAGUUAAUAGACAAGUGAAAGUGGAUACUCUAAAAUGCGCAAGAUAAGUGUGAGUGCUAUGGAUGGCGUUCUCGCAGGGAGACGGGAGUGGAUCCAUAGUGGUGUAUUGGUAUGGUGAAUUUGUGGACUCGUGUGCGCCACCUCAAAAGACUUACUUGCAGUCGUAGUUCAGGUUAGCCACUAAGUCAAAGCUGGCUUGCUGCAGUCAAACUCCACCACCCCUUAUUGAUACUGAUGCAGAUGCAGUUAGUUCUGAUGUAAGUAUUGCUGGGUACAUUUGUACUCACGUUUGCUUAAUUUAUGUUUUGAAGAGAGAUGUCAGUCUCGCUAGUAGUUCCACGUGGACCUCGAUGUUUAGCUUGAUACCUCAGCUACCAUCUUGUGCCCUCGGUAGGAUCUUGUAGAUAGUCAGGCUUCUCAGCCUUUUUCAUUUGUAGAUGUCUGUACUUAGACAUGUUAAGCUUUCACGUGUGCUUUGACUUGUAUGCUCUAAAUGUUGGGUCAUGAGACCUAUGUUUGUAAUAUCUCGCUCCUCGGCGCCUAAUGAAUAAAUACUUGAGUCAUAGAGUUAUGUUGUGAUGCCAUGUUGUAUUUACACAUAUCGAGCAUAUUGUGUGUAUGAUUGAAAUGCUUGGUAUGUGUGGGAUCCGACAACCUAGUUGUUUAUCCUUGGUAGCCUCUCUUAUGGGGAAAUGUAGUCUUGUGCUUCCAUGAGCCAUAGUAGUCCACUACAGCCCGGUUCACCGGAGUCCUGCUAGCCCAGCACUACUGCUCCGGAACACUUGACUGGCCGGCAUGUGAUUCACUUUGUUCCUGUGUCUGUCCCUUCGGGGAAAUGUCAUGCGGUGACACCCGGAGUCCUGCUAGCCUGCUACAGCCCGGGUUCCCGGAGUCCUAUUAGCCCAGUUGCUACAGCCCGGAUUCACACGCUGCUGACCGACAUGCUCGAUGUUGAUUGAUGUAUGCCUGUCCCCGUAAGUUAGUGCCACUUUGGGUUCACGACUAGUCAUGUCGGCCCGGGUUCUCUGUCAUAUGGAUGCUAGCGACACUAUCAUAUACGUGAGCCAAAAGGCGCAAAUGGUCCCGGGCCAUGGUAAGGCGACACCCGUGGGAAUACCGUGCGUGAGGCCGCAAAGUGAUAUGAGGUGUUAUAGGCUAGAUCGGUGUGACUUAGAAUUGGGGUCCUGACAGGAGCACAGGCUCCGGCCAUGGCAGCCACGAACGAGCACGGGGACGGCCGCCAACGAAUGGAUCGAAGUGAAAAAUGGGGGAAUCGGGGGAGGGCCUCAUAGCGGGGUGCUUGGCGUGCUCGUUGUAGUCGGAGAGGACUGGAGGCGAGCGGAUCGAUGACGGCGUUGCAAUGGCCGAAGGUAGAAGAAGAUGAGGAUGGCGAGCUUCUGGUGCGGGCGUCGUUGGAGGAGCCUCCCAGCUCUGCUCCGCGCCGAAGGAGAGCGAGGGCGAGGCGGCAGGAGCCUCUCAACACAGAGAGGCAGCGAUGGGUGGCCGACGGCCAUGCCAGCCAUGAUGACGGGGCGACGACGGUAGCGAUCGGGUGCGGGGCGGCUCUGGGCGAGAGAGAGGGCGACGAGGGAGAGAGGGGGCCAGUGGGCGAUUAGGGUUCGCUGGGGAAGGGGGCGCCGGCCUUUUAGGAGGGGGGAGUCGGCGGAUGGCCUCCACGGGGAUGGCCGCGGCCGUGGCACGCAUCGGCUCUGUCCACGAUCCCCCGUGAACAGAGCGGAGGGGGCAGCGGGAGCAGGUGGGCCGGCCCGCUAGGUAGAUGGGCCGGGUGGCCCAAUGGAGGGGAGGCUUUGUUUUAUCUUUUUAUUCUUUGAUUCUUUUCUUUUAUUUAUUUCUCCAUUUUUAUUUAAAUGCUAUAGUAAAGGAACUUAGUUAAACUUGAAAUCUGGCUCAUAAUUCAAGAACAACAUUGUGGUGUUGCAUAAAAAGUUUUUGAGCCAAAGGAAUUGUUUGGGCAUUUUUAGAAAUUGAAUAAGUCAUUUAAUAUGCUAUUGGACCACUAUAUAAUUUGGUGAGGGCAUUUUUAAUAAUUCAAAUGAGGUUGGUUAACUCAUCACAAUUUAAUA
RNAcentral lists this long non-coding RNA (24674 nucleotides) under Triticum aestivum (bread wheat). RNAcentral describes it as "long non-coding RNA (TAES_LNC005300)". Lineage: Eukaryota; Viridiplantae; Streptophyta; Magnoliopsida; Poales; Poaceae. The record is from RNAcentral.